UUGCCUUGCUGUUGUAAAUUGGGUUCACAUGAGAGGCUGGUGGUGGGACUCAUUUCAGUUACAAUCAGCAACAGCAGUAGUCUUCUGUUCAACUCUCUCUUUACUUACUCUCUCUAACUCUCUCCAUCCCUCCUUCCCCUAUCUUGCUCUCUCUCUCUCCCAUCUCCCUGCAUACUAUAGCUCUCUUUUUUACUCCUUCUUCUGUAUUCUCUCUCCUCUUUGCUCGCCUGUUGAGAUUAUUCACUCAUAACUCAGAGGACCCAACAUCCUAGCUGAGUUCAGACUGGAGCCAUGGCUCCAGAAAAGGAAAGCAAUGGUCUCGAAAACUACGCAUUUGCUAUUGAUGGGCGUUUCUGUGAUCUGGAGAAGGAUGGAGAGGGCUCCGACCUCUCUGAGGAGGACGACAAGAACAAACUGGCCUACUGUGUCACAGACAUCCCACCCUGGUACCUUUGCAUCAUUCUGGGCAUCCAGCAUUGCCUGACAGCAUUUGGAGGGAUCAUCGCCAUCC
This is a long non-coding RNA of Oncorhynchus gorbuscha (pink salmon), 511 nucleotides long. RefSeq lists it as uncharacterized. The transcript is spliced from 3 exons. The record is from RefSeq and is a predicted model, not a curated record. NCBI's taxonomy places the organism in Eukaryota, Metazoa, Chordata, Actinopteri, Salmoniformes, Salmonidae.